This is a long non-coding RNA of Ictalurus punctatus (channel catfish), 1984 nucleotides long. The record is from Ensembl. NCBI's taxonomy places the organism in Eukaryota, Metazoa, Chordata, Actinopteri, Siluriformes, Ictaluridae.
GUAUUUAUUAAAUCCCUUGAUAAAGCAUUGUAUGAGAAGUUAUUUAAGGAAUUAGGUUAUUUAUUCAUUUAUCUAUGUUGAUAGUUUGUGGUUUGAGAUAGGUUAUGAAUCGGUUAUAAUGUGUUGUAGUUAGGUUAUAAAUAGGUUAGGAUUCUGUUUAAAUUUUAGUCAUUUAAGUUAUUUAUUUAUUUGUUUUAUUUUUGUUUAUUUACUUAUUCAUUUAUCCUUUCUAUUUAUGGUGCAGAAUAGGUUAUGAUUAGGUUAUAAUUAGGUUCGACUACGAUUAUGGCAGUGUUUGAUUAUGAUACGGUUAGGGUUAAUUUAUGUAUUUAUGUAGGAUUAAGCUAUAACACCUGGUUCAGGCUUUGGUGGGGGGAAUUGGGCAAGUGUAGCCCAGGCUUAAUAAUGAGAAACACUAUUAGCUGUCUAACCAAGUCACAAAAGGGUUAACUGUGACUUUCUUGUUAUCUUUGAUGGAUUUGUAAGUGAGCAAAUGGGUGAACUCUAUGAGGCAUUGAACUGACCAAUCAGCUGCCAGCUAGGCUCUGUUACAGUUACACCUCUAGGUUAAUGUCUCUGCACGUUCUUUUGGCGCUUGCACCUGAGCAUAGGAGGCUGCGUUAUCCACUUGAUAAGACGAAAAACGACAUGGAGUGAAUUAAACAAGUUCUGUAUUCAUUAUUGCUUAUACUGACUAUAUCCUGUUGUAAUAUAGAGAGUAAAAGAGAGCUGUGCCUGAAUCCACUGUUGUCACGGAGCUAAAGGCAGUGAAUUCUGCUAAAAUGGUUUUGGUAAAGAGUUGGAAACAUUGUGCGGAGAUCCUUUCCAUGGAAUGCUACAGAUCCCCACGUUCCAGGCGCUCUUCCAGAGAUCCAUAGAUUCCCAGUCCGGGUGGCUGGGUGGCGAGCCAACCGUGUUUGUGACUCUGACUUUAGACGGAUUGCCAGGAUCAUCUUCUUCAUCUUCAUGGUGGUAGGACAAACACUAACACGAACUAAAAAGGGCCCAACGUUGGUGACUGACCUCUUGUCAACAAAGGCAAGUGAAACUGAGGACGAACUAAGCUCAAGGGAAUUUAAAAGGGGAUUUAUUUAGGUGCGCAGUUUAUUAUUCUAGUUUGUUAUUUUUCAUAACUGUUUUUUGUAUAUGUAUGUACCAGCCCAUGUGUGUGUUAUACAUUUUAUGCAAAUUGUCAUUCUGGUGUGGUAUUCUUUUUAUUGACCUUCAAUUCUCAGGUUCUUAACAAUUUAGCAUCUUCUGAUUCUGGUCCAAAUUCAUAUUACUGAUAACCUCUAAGACUACUUUAGACUACUACACCUAUGGGUUACACAAGACCUUGUCGGCCGUUGGUUGUGCAUUUGAAUGUAGAGUUGUUUUUAGGUCUAGGCUGCUACCCCUGAGUGAGGCUUUGCUAACAAUAUUUGGCUAUAAUUUUAUCUGAUCUUGGGCUUUCUUCUUUUAUCUGCCGUGAAUGUGGGAGUUGUUUUUAGGUCUCGGUUGUUACCCCUGAGUGAGGCUUUGCUGAAGAUAUUCGGCUAUAAUUUUACCCGAAAAUGGGCGUUCUUUUUUCCUGUUGAUUGUUUCUUCCAUAACGCUGGGUUCUCAUGUGACGGUUCCGUGUUGAGAUUGGUUCCCGGCAGGUUUUAUCCUGCACGUCAGAAUGAUAGGUAAGCAGAAUAAAAUAGCAGACUACCUGUGUGGGCAGUACAUUCACCAUGCCUGUCUGGGCUUGUUUCCGCUCACCUAUCCAACAGUCUCUUUAUCCCUUAGUCAAAAGGGCAGGAGACUAGACACUUGUGAUUGAUGGACAUGAUCGUCGACGAAACUCGUGGUCCACCAACGACUAAGGCUACUUUUACUCAGAUAGCGUGCUCGGUCCGAAGGCUCUGGCUGGGUUAGGUUUUGGUAAGAAUACAAUGAUCCCCCCCAUCACAAUAAUCCAUUGGGUAGUUAAGCAGGGGACCAAGGAAGGUGCACGGGCCAG